This 67-nucleotide transfer RNA is filed under the name Provanna glabra. RNAcentral's name for it is "tRNA-Pro". Lineage: Eukaryota; Metazoa; Mollusca; Gastropoda; Provannidae. RNAcentral also lists the same sequence under 1 other name. The record is from RNAcentral.
CGAAAUUGUAGUUUAAAAAAUACUAGCAUUGGAAGCUAGAGAUUAGGUAAUAAAUCCUACGUUUCGA